UAAUCUCAUGAUUAACGUUUGAUAGUUGGCGUAAGGUAUCUCUAAUGGAUGGACCUGCGGCGUAUUAGUUAGUUGGUAAGGUAAGGGUUUACCAAGACGAUGAUACCGUAGCCGACUUGAGAGAGUGAUCGGCCACAUUGGGAUUGAGACACGGCCCAAUCUCCUCCGGGAGGCAGCAGUAGGGAACCUUCCUCAAUGGAGGAAAGUCUGAU
RNAcentral lists this ribosomal RNA (212 nucleotides) under uncultured bacterium. Its description in RNAcentral is "partial 16S ribosomal RNA". It matches the Rfam family "Bacterial small subunit ribosomal RNA", at positions 183 to 387 of the family's 1533-position model. The record is from RNAcentral.